UUGGGGUAGAGGGUUGGGGUAUUGUAGGACUGAGGCUGGGUAAAGGGUUGGGGUAUCAUAGGACUGAGGCUGGGUAAAGGGUUGGGGUAGAGGGUUGGGGUAUUGUAGGACUGAGGCUGGGUAGAGGGUUGGGGUAUCAUAGGACUGAGGCUGGGUAAAGGGUUGGGGUAGAGGGUUGGGGUAUUGUAGGACUGAGGCUGGGUAAAGGGUUGGGGUAGAGGGUUGGGGUAUUGUAGGACUGAGGCUGGGUAAAGGGUUGGGGUAGAGGUAUUAUAGGACUGAGACUGGGUAAAGGGUUGGGGUAUUGUAGGACUGAGGCUGGGUAAAGGGUUGGGGUAGAGGGUUGGGGUAUUAUAGGACUGAGGCUGGGUAAAGGGUUGGGGUAGAGGGUUGGGGUAUUGUAGGACUGAGGCUGGGUAAAGGAUUGGGGUAUCAUAGGACUGAGGCUGGGUAAAGGGUUGGGGUAUUGUAGGACUGAGGCUGGGUAAACAACACACGUCUGUUGUAUGACUGCACACACACACACACACACGUCUGUUGUAUGACUGCACACACACACACGUCUGUUGUAUGACCUCACACGGCCGGGCGCUUGACACUGAGGAGAUACCACAUAUGUAAAUGAUGUGUUAAUUUUAAUAUCAGCUGUGAAAGGACUCCGGGCCAUCCCCUCUACCCUGCACCUCCCCC
Long non-coding RNA from Oncorhynchus tshawytscha (Chinook salmon), 690 nucleotides. The record is from Ensembl. NCBI's taxonomy places the organism in Eukaryota, Metazoa, Chordata, Actinopteri, Salmoniformes, Salmonidae.